AUUUAUUGCUUAUUUUCUGACUACAAGCUUGGCAAGGGGACAUAUAUUGGCACACAGGAAUAUGUCUUGAAAGGAUAAACUGAUGUGCUUAAUUGCAUAGUGGGAAGUGCAAUGAAUAGGAGGUGCUUCUCUAGAAGGAAAUUCGUAGGGAGAGAAAGAGCCAGAGUCCAGUUAAGAUCUCACAGCUGCAAGCCCAGAGCUUGUUCCACUAAGGAAGACAGUGUGCAAGUGAGUGCCUGGGGCAGAGCAGGGGCUCCUACAUACCAACAGAACUGGAAACUGAGGGGAUGUCAGAAAGCAGGAAAAGCCUUGGCUCACCCUCUGCCACAGGCUAACCAGCCGUCGUCCUCCCUCUCUCUGUCCACACCCAAGCACACCUCGCCACACUCCCUGCCUUCCCAGGCCUGCUUUCCUUUGGCUGGCGAUUCUGUGGCUCCUUCAAACUUAAACAGGUCUCAGUGUCAGUCGCUCAGUUGUGUCUGACUCUUUGUGACUCCAUGGACUGCAGCCUGCCAGGCUCCUCUGUCUGUGGAAUUCUCCAGAAUACUGGAGUGGGUAGCCAUUUCCGCUCUCCAGGGUUUCUUCUCCACUCAGGGAUACAACCUGGGUCUCCUGCAUUGCAGGCAGAUUUUUUUAACCCUCUGAGCCACCAAGGAAACCCAAAAACAAGUGGUAAGGGGAAGAAAAAAAGCACAGUUAUCUGGACAGAUGGCAGCUCAUACUGUGCUAGGGAUACAUAGGACCCUCUCCUCUCGGCCUUACUGCAGGUGAGGAAGGCCGGCUCGGGAGAAUUUUCUGAGAGACCCGGAUGAGGACGGCUGUAAACAGGCAAAACAGAAGCCCCACCUCGUGGGCCGGUGGAGAAUGGACACAGGGCUGGGGGUCCUCAAGAACUUGGAAUGGAGUUGCCCUCUGCCGGUGACCCUGUGAAAUCAGCCCACGGGGAAAGCGUGCCCAGAUCGCGUGCAUGAGGGACGGAUUACACGGUAACCCGAGUUCAUGUCUUUCAGCGGGGGUGCAGCACAGAGAAGAGGAGGGAAGGGGACACUGGUCUCGCGGGUCCAGAGAGGCCCCGAGGUUCACGCAGAACUGGACAGAUGCGAGCGCAACUUUCCCGGGAGAAUCUGAAACUGCCCUCGGAGGCCCAAAGGCUCCCAGCCCGAGGGGAGGAAAGACCUUAUCCGGCCACCGGGAGGGAACCUGGCUAUCCCGGCUUCACUCGGUAUACUUCUCUGAGCUCAUCCUCCUAACGAAUGUCACCAGAGACGCAGGGAGCGGGUGGGUGGCGGGGGUGGCGGGAGCAGGGAAACCGAAAGUGCUCCUGACUCGUGUUAACGCUGAAAGUGUUGAUCGCUCCUUAAUUCCAUGGACUGUAGCCCACCAGGCACCUCUGUCCUUGGGAUGUUCCAGACAAGAAUACUGCCUUGGCUCACCAUUCCCUUGUCCAAAGGAUCUUCCUGAUCCAGGCAUCAAACCCGCUUCUCCCUCAUUGCAGGGAAGAUACUUUACGGUCUGAGCCACCAGGGAGGCCACCCGGGACGGGAUUCCAAACUGGGGCUAUCACCUUACGACUGGGUCCCCUGCCCAGGUUGAGAGAGCCACCUGGAGGCGGGCGCGGGGGACAGCGAUCCCAGAGAAGAAAGUCUUUCAAACCUCGGUCCCCUUCUCUUUCGAGCCCCGACCAUGGAAGAGGCGCCUGGAGACAGCGGAGGACCCCCAAAUGGAGACCUGAGCGGCGAAUCCAGGAGUCCUUCUUCGAGCGGAGAAGCUCUUUGCACCACAAGGGGGCGCGGGGUUUCCCAAAGUGUGUUUGUGUGUGUGUGUAUGUCUGUGUGUGUAUGUCUGUGUGUCUGUGUAUAUGUCUGUGUGGGCGUCUGUGUCUCCUCUGGGAGCAUCUGCAGGAUUGCCUGCUCUGGGGACCAACCACCGCUCCAUCUUUCGCUACUGGAGCUGGGUAAGAGUGGCUUCCCACGUGGCCCAGUGGUAAAGAAUCCGCCAGCCAAUGCACGAGACGCGGGUUCCAUCCCCGGGUCAGGAAUAUCCCCUGGAAAAGAGAAUGGCAACCUACUCCAGUAUUCUUGCCCGGAACACUCUAUGGACAGAGGAGCCUGGUGACCUACAGUCCACGGGGUCGCAAAGAGUCAGCCAAGCCUGAACACCCACUCAGCCAUGUGGGCUGUUUAUCCGGGUUUCGGGCCUGGGAAUCUGAGCGUCUCUUUUUAGCGCCAGAGAAAAUGAUCAUGGCUGGGGAAGGUGCGCUGUCUCCGAAGGGAAGGGGCGGAUGGUCACCGGCCUCCUCCCUGGAGACCUGGGAACUGGCACUGUGCUGCAAGCAGGGACAGCACUCGGUCCCGCUCAAGAAAGGGAGCGGCUUUCCCUCUGUCCCACCCCAAAGGAAAAUAAACGGUCUCUGGCACGUUCCUGCA
Molecule: long non-coding RNA, 2426 nt
Filed under: Bos indicus x Bos taurus (hybrid cattle)
Lineage: Eukaryota; Metazoa; Chordata; Mammalia; Artiodactyla; Bovidae
Description: lncRNA (ENSBIXG00005017896.1)
Source: RNAcentral